Molecule: ribosomal RNA, 254 nt
Filed under: uncultured Lactobacillus sp.
Lineage: Bacteria; Bacillati; Bacillota; Bacilli; Lactobacillales; Lactobacillaceae
Description: partial 16S ribosomal RNA
Rfam family: Bacterial small subunit ribosomal RNA
Source: RNAcentral
AGUAACGCGUGGGUAACCUGCCCUUAAGUCUGGGAUACCAUUUGGAAACAGAUGCUAAUACCGGAUAAAAGCUACUUUCGCAUGAAAGAAGUUUAAAAGGCGGCGUAAGCUGUCGCUAAAGGAUGGACCUGCGAUGCAUUAGCUAGUUGGUAAGGUAACGGCUUACCAAGGCGAUGAUGCAUAGCCGAGUUGAGAGACUGAUCGGCCACAUUGGGACUGAGACACGGCCCAAACUCCUACGGGAGGCAGCAGCC